GGGGAUAUGGCGGAAUGGCAGACGCGGCGGACUCAAAAUCCGUUGGUUUCGACCGUGAGGGUUCGAGUCCCUCUAUCCCCA
RNAcentral lists this transfer RNA (81 nucleotides) under Saccoloma inaequale. Its description in RNAcentral is "tRNA-Leu". It matches the Rfam family "tRNA". Rfam says of the family: Transfer RNA (tRNA) molecules are approximately 80 nucleotides in length. Their secondary structure includes four short double-helical elements and three loops (D, anti-codon, and T loops). Further hydrogen bonds mediate the characteristic L-shaped molecular structure. tRNAs have two regions of fundamental functional importance: the anti-codon, which is responsible for specific mRNA codon recognition, and the 3' end, to which the tRNAs corresponding amino acid is attached (by aminoacyl-tRNA synthetases). tRNAs cope with the degeneracy of the genetic code in two manners: having more than one tRNA (with a specific anti-codon) for a particular amino acid; and 'wobble' base-pairing, i.e. permitting non-standard base-pairing at the 3rd anti-codon position. Lineage: Eukaryota; Viridiplantae; Streptophyta; Polypodiopsida; Polypodiales; Saccolomataceae. The record is from RNAcentral.